Molecule: ribosomal RNA, 466 nt
Filed under: uncultured bacterium
Lineage: Bacteria
Description: partial 16S ribosomal RNA
Rfam family: Bacterial small subunit ribosomal RNA
Source: RNAcentral
GAUGAACGCUGGCGGCGUGCUUAACACAUGCAAGUCGAACGAUGAAGCCCAGCUUGCUGGGUGGAUUAGUGGCGAACGGGUGAGUAACACGUGAGUAACCUGCCCUUAACUCUGGGAUAAGCCUGGGAAACUGGGUCUAAUACCGGAUAGGAGCGUCCACCGCAUGGUGGGUGUUGGAAAGAUUUAUCGGUUUUGGAUGGACUCGCGGCCUAUCAGCUUGUUGGUGAGGUAAUGGCUCACCAAGGCGACGACGGGUAGCCGGCCUGAGAGGGUGACCGGCCACACUGGGACUGAGACACGGCCCAGACUACUACGGGAGGCAGCAGUGGGGAAUAUUGCACUAUGGGCGCAAGCCUGAUGCAGCGACGCCGCGUGAGGGAUGACGGCCUUCGGGUUGUAAACCUCUUUCAGUAGGGAAGAAGCGAAAGUGACGGUACCUGCAGAAGAAGCACCGGCUAACUACGUG